UACGAGAGCCUCGAGCGUUAUCCGGAAUUAUUGGGCGUAAAGGGUGCGUAGGUUGUUCUGUUAGUCUUUUGUCAAAGCCCCGAGCUUAACUUGGGAUACGCGAAAGAAACGGCAGGACUUGAAAGUGCGAGAGGCGUACGGAACUCAUGGUGUAGGGGUGAAAUCCGUUGAUAUCAUGGGGAACACCAAAAGCGAAAGCAGUACGCUGGCGCAUAUUUGACAUUGAAGCACGAAAGCGUGGGUAGCGAAUGGG
RNAcentral lists this ribosomal RNA (253 nucleotides) under uncultured bacterium. RNAcentral's name for it is "partial 16S ribosomal RNA". It matches the Rfam family "Bacterial small subunit ribosomal RNA", at positions 524 to 776 of the family's 1533-position model. The record is from RNAcentral.